Molecule: ribosomal RNA, 460 nt
Filed under: uncultured bacterium
Lineage: Bacteria
Description: partial 16S ribosomal RNA
Rfam family: Bacterial small subunit ribosomal RNA
Source: RNAcentral
CCUACGGGAGGCAGCAGUGAGGAAUAUUGGUCAAUGGACGAGAGUCUGAACCAGCCAAGUAGCGUGAAGGAUGACUGCCCUAUGGGUUGUAAACUUCUUUUAUAAAGGAAUAAAACGAGGCACGUGUGCCUUUUUGCAUUUACUUUAUGAAUAAGGAUCGGCUAACUCCGUGCCAGCAGCCGCGGUAAUACGGAGGAUCCGAGCGUUAUCCGGAUGUAUUGGGUUUAAAGGGAGCGUAGAUGGGUUGUUAAGUCAGUUGUGAAAGUUUGCGGCUCAACCGUAAAAUUGCAAUUGAUACUGGCAGUCUUGAGUACAGUUGAGGUAGGCGGAAUUCGUGGUGUAGCGGUGAAAUGCUUAGAUAUCACGAAGAACCCCGAUUGCGAAGGCAGCUUACUAAACUGUGACUGACAUUGAUGCUCGAAAGUGUGGGUAUCAAACAGGAUUAGAUACCCUGGUAGUC